Molecule: long non-coding RNA, 1179 nt
Organism: Malus domestica (apple)
Lineage: Eukaryota; Viridiplantae; Streptophyta; Magnoliopsida; Rosales; Rosaceae
Source: RefSeq, a predicted model, not a curated record
UACCAUAUUUAUAACCAAUUAGCUUCUUAGUUUUCACUUGUCAUGAUUCCUAGAAAUGAAAUGCCAAAGUUGAGAUGACAGAAAUUUACUAAAUGGAAUUUGGGCCACAGCAAUUGUAUCUGGUCACAAUUGUGGGUUAGAAUCAGAUAUAUGAAAGUUCAUAUAUGAAGAAAGAUAUUUGAGGAGGAGGAGGGGGUUGAGGGCUCCAUAUGUUGCAAAUAUUCUCAUUCAGCUAAAUAAAACAACCAUAUAUAUUUUUCCUUUUCACCCAUAUUAUUUAAGGAUUGGAAGUUAAGCUACGCACUAUAAACAUAUUUACAAGCUAAGAGUUGCAUAGUUUAACUUAAUUUGGCAUAUCGAGUUUUGAAGGACGAUCGCGAUAGAUACAUAGGUGUGGGGGCAUGCAGAUACUUUUCUCACAUUGGCCUUUGGCACUGCAACUUGGCCAGCUUUUGAUCACUAGAAGAGAACCCUGUAACUCCACUGCAAUUAAAAUCUUUAAGCCCACUUUACUACGACUAAGAUAUUAUUCUCUACUGUGUAUUUAUCCCACAUAGCAGUCUAGGUUCACCGCCUACAACUUUAUCCCCACAUAAUUUGUUCCCAUUGGAUUUGAAUCCGAAGAGUACUAGACAACUAUGAUCAUCGAUCGACCGCUAUAUAUAUAUAUAUAUAUAGACCCUGUUGACAUUACCUCAUCAUCUAAUCAAGCUAAACAUCAACAAAGAAAUCAGGUGUCUCCUAGAGUUCCCUUGACCACUUCAUUGGGAGGUGCGAUUAAUCUCCCUCUCCGAUAUGGUUUCGAACAAUUGUCUUCUUAUGUAUUCCUAUUGAAGUGUUUGGGGAAACUCCUGGCGUCAUUUGAUAAACAAAUGUCAUUUCAAGACUGACGUUGUAAUGCGUUGAUCUCGUCCAACUGCUUAGGCUAUCAUCAAUGAAGACAUGGAAUUGAUUAUAUUAGUCAACCGUAGAUCUAAUACUGAAGCAGAAUGUAUAUUAAUUUUUCAAGUCUUUAAGACGAUUGCUUAGAAGUUAGAGCUAGGCUUAGACUCUAUCAUGAAGAGUACAUGAUUGGUAUUCUUCAUCACAUUUUAACUUGAAAUAAAUUCUCUAUGAGAAUUUCAAACAUAUUCUUCUUUGUGUUUUGUGAAUGAAUAUAUAAUGACUCGCACAUUGUUG